AAAUGUGGACAGAUUUGUUUGCUUGCAACCACGUGAAAAAAUGCUAAAAUCAUA
This 54-nucleotide non-coding RNA is filed under the name bovine gut metagenome. The record is from RNAcentral.